GAUGAACGCUGGCGGCGUGCCUAAUACAUGCAAGUCGAGCGAACGGACGAGAAGCUUGCUUCUCUGAUGUUAGCGGCGGACGGGUGAGUAACACGUGGAUAACCUACCUAUAAGACUGGGAUAACUUCGGGAAACCGGAGCUAAUACCGGAUAAUAUUUUGAACCGCAUGGUUCAAUAGUGAAAGACGGUCUUGCUGUCACUUAUAGAUGGAUCCGCGCUGCAUUAGCUAGUUGGUAAGGUAACGGCUUACCAAGGCAACGAUGCAUAGCCGACCUGAGAGGGGGGUUCGGCAACACGGAAAUUGGACCACGGUCCAGACUCCUACGGGAGGAAGCAGUAGGGAAUCUUCCGAAAUGGCCGAAAGCCUAACGGAGCAACGCCGCGGGAGUAAGAAAGGUUUUGGGUUCGUAAAACUUUUUUAUUAGGAAAGAAAAAAUUGGAAAGUAACUAGGCACGUCUGAACGGAACCUAUCCAGAAAGCACCGCUAACCUACGG
RNAcentral lists this ribosomal RNA (497 nucleotides) under uncultured bacterium. Its description in RNAcentral is "partial 16S ribosomal RNA". It matches the Rfam family "Bacterial small subunit ribosomal RNA", at positions 28 to 506 of the family's 1533-position model. The record is from RNAcentral.